CUUUAGCCUGUUGAUGUGUGCCUACAGUUAAGCCAUGUAUUGCAAACCAAUUGAAAAACUUCAUUUUAAAUGUAUUUCUCAAGAUUGAUUGCAAACAAUUGACACAAUUCUUACCCGACUGAAUUGCGACCCUGAAUCUCAAUAACCUCCACCGAGUUGAAGUGAGUUACAAACAGGUGUCAAGAUGAUGUUGAGUGUCUCACUCGGAAGUGAUCCAGUCAAGGCCCUUAAGUGAGUGGUUCAACCAUGUCCAUCCUCCCACUCCACCUGGUCCAACAUGACGAUCACCAGAAACCAGAACAGAAGGACAAAGGCCAAAGUUGAGAAGCCUUAAGUUCCUGUUUUUCAGCCACAAAGUACACGGUGAAGAAGGGUGCAGCAGGAACUUUAAAGCAACUGGAAGAUACUUGGAUGCAACGUGACAUAAGAAGAAGUAAUUUUUCUAGCUUCAGUUGAAGGCUGUCUCUUUAACUCCAGUCACAGUACAGUUAAA
This is a long non-coding RNA of Stegostoma tigrinum, 493 nucleotides long. RefSeq lists it as uncharacterized. The record is from RefSeq and is a predicted model, not a curated record. Lineage: Eukaryota; Metazoa; Chordata; Chondrichthyes; Orectolobiformes; Stegostomatidae. The transcript has 3 exons.